GAUGAACGCUGGCGGCGUGCCUAACACAUGCAAGUCGAGCGAACGGACGAGAAGCUUGCUUUUCUGAUGUUAGCGGCGGACGGGUGAGUAACACGUGGAUAACCUACCUAUAAGACUGGGAUAACUUCGGGAAACCGGUGCUACUACCGGAUAAUAUUUUGAACCGCAUGGUUCAAAAGUUAAAGACGGUCUUGCUGUCACUUAUAGAUGGAUCCGCGUUGCAUUAGCUAGGUGGUAAGGUAACGGCUAACCAAGGCAACGAUGCAUAGCUGACCUGAGAGGAUGAUCGGCCACACUAGAACUGAGCCACGGUCCAGACUCCUACGGGAGGCAGCAGUGGGGAAUGUUCCACAAAGGGCGAAAGCCUGACCGAGCAACGCCGCGUGAGUGAUGAAGGUCUUCGGAUCGUAAAGCUCUGUUAUUAGGGAAGAACAUAAGUGUAAGUAACUGUGCACAUCUUGACGGUACCUAAUGAAUAAGCAACGGCUAACUACGUG
This 497-nucleotide ribosomal RNA is filed under the name uncultured bacterium. RNAcentral's name for it is "partial 16S ribosomal RNA". It matches the Rfam family "Bacterial small subunit ribosomal RNA", at positions 28 to 507 of the family's 1533-position model. The record is from RNAcentral.